CGCUCCGGUUCCUUGCUCGGCUUCCUCCGAGGCAUUGGGAGUCGUGUCGUGCGCGCGUCGGUCCGACGGCGACCCUCUUAGAGCCCCUCCGUGGUUUUGUCUCUCGUCGUCGCGGCGAACGGAGAACGAAAACCCUAGCCUCGGACGGCGUACUUCCGCGUUCGCGAGCUGCCGCUCCGCUCUUACAGCUCCACAGCUUUUGGUGAGACUUGGAGCGUUGUUCUCCCCAGCAUGCUCCUGCUUGACGUGGUUCCCCCCCCCCUCCCCCUCAGUUAUCCUCUUCAGACGAGCUAUAACAGCGUUCCUCUCCCCCUCCGGAGGUCGCAUUCCCCUCGAACAACGCUUUCAAAACCCCUUCCCCCCGUAAAACAGGUCCUAAGCUCCGCCCACACGGGUCCCUCUCACGAGCUUCCCCAUUGGCCGCCGAACAGCGAAUCAGAGUCGUGAAAGGACGGGAGUGGAAGGGCGGAAAGAGCUUACCGAGAAGCCGAGGUGACCCUUUCGCGUGCUAGGUUGGCAGUGACCAAAAGGUGAGAAAAAUUCGGGGUACGCCAACGUUAAUUUUUUAAAGUGCCGGAGUGAACGAAAACUUUUAUUUUUUUUUUUAAAUUUUUGAGCGUGGUUUUGUUGGAAUGAACGUGGCGGUUCGCGGCGGGACGUGUCGAAUUCGGGCUAGUGCGUGAAGGAUAUUCUCCAGCUGAGAGUUCUCUCCGCGUCCCGACGAGCUCCCAACAAGCGCGGCAGCUGUGAGCGACGCUCGCUUGCCCUGUGAGCAGCGAGAGGCAGGCACGUCGGUGGUCUGACAUCGCAGCCGGUUCGUGUCCCAGUGUGAGCAGCUGAGGGGGUUCACCUGGAAGGAAGACUACUGGUCCUUGUCGAGGCGACAUGACGUGACCGUCAGCGAGCUCAUCUCUUCCCGGAGCCAAGGCGAGUUCAUGGCUCGAGUAACAGGCGGUUUGCCUAAACAUGAAUUCGUUACGGCGAUUUGCCUAAAGUCAUUUCGCCUAAAGGCGUUUUGCCUAACGGCGUUUUGCCUAAAAUGUUACUAUGUUGACAAAACCUCGUUUUGCCUAACGGCGUUUUGUCUAACGGCGAAUUGCCUAACGGCGUUUUGCCUAAUGGCGAAUUGCCUAACGGUGUUUUGCCUAACUACGAUUUGGCCAACGGCGUUUUGCCUAAUGGCGUUUUGCCUUACCUAACCUAACAGCGUUUUGCCUAUCGGUGUUUUGCCUAACUACUAUUUGGCCAACGGCGUUUUGCCUAAAAUGAGGCAAAACGCCUUUAGGCAAAACGACACAUCCCCCUAGCUCGGCCACUAAACAAGCUAGUAGCACACUCCGUGGUGCUUACCUAACACUAACUUAACGAAUAUAGACGCUGGUCAUUAAUUUAAUCACGGCUUAUUUUCAUGUUUCUGAGCUCCAUUUAUAAGGUGAAAUUGUGAAUCGUUACUCAUAAAUGUUAAUGCAGAAUUUUUGGUGCUUACCGUUUAAUCAUUUAAUAGCUUUUGGGAGCAGUUUGAUAAAGCCUAGUUUGAAGAAAUCUAUGAACUGGAGUAAAUGCUCAGUAGCCUUUUAAGACCCACUAUUAUGUCUAUUAAAAAAAUGUUUUUAUUGUGUGGGUUUUAUAGAUCUUUUAUGCUUAGUGUUGAUGCCCAAUAUUUUUAUGUUCACAGUGAACCAACAAAUUAAGCACGACAUUGUGAAGACGUCAAUCAGAGAUCCACAAGUCACUAAUAUUCUACGAUGUUUAAUCAAUCAGUUCAUCCAUUUGUAUUUUAUGGAAGUGAGUGAACUUUGUGAUUAAAUCUGUUCCUUUGAACCUCUUGUGUUUAUGCACGCACACUCCCUCGCAUAUCCUUUAUCCCGUUACACUUUGAGAGUGUAACACGUGAAAUAAUGUUUCCAUUGUGCGCCGCUUUCCCACGCACGUAAGCAUCAGUUUAUCAAUGGCUAACUCAGUAACAUCCAGGUUUCAUAUUUCAUGAUGGUUAUGUGCAGUUAGGUCACAUUCAAAUUAACAUUCAUUCGGAAAAAAAAAAUACUGAGCGUGAACACAUUUCUAAGAUUUCACAGAUAAAUUUACUAAACAAAUCUUUCAAAAGACACAUAUAAUAACAUUAGGUAUUACAAAUGCUUCUGUCUAACCAUCUUUCGGAGACAAAAUUCUGAAGAUUAUUUCGGUUACUUUGCGCUCGCUAGGCGACUAAAAUAAAAAUAAAAAUUAAUCGGAAAGUCUGUCGCGUCCAUAUUUUUUGACACGAUGGCGUCACAAACAUGAUUUAUUUGGAGAAAUAUUCGAAUUUUCGUCGCGCUAUUGUGAUUCCAGUAUCAAGACCUGGGGAAAAAAAUAGGUGAGCUUAUUUUAGUGUUACUUAAGCUUUGAAAACAUAGCGUUUAGUAGGCCUACGUCAGCUGCGCCACUUACAACCGCAGGAUAAGCACUUGUGUGUUCUGCGGCGUGACAGGCCUGUUCUGCACCUUCAACGCACUAGUUUCCAAGGAAAUUACGUAAGGUCCUAUUCCGCGUUCUGUUCUGAGCUCCUGUCCGACUCGACUCGCACACAAGCGAGCAUUUAGUUUAUAUUUUCUAUUUACAUCGCAAAAAUAGUUACUGAUAGUCGCGGUAUUCGUUGACGAUUUAGAUUAGAUUUCGUCACAAUAAUCCAGGGAAGGAGUUUAUUUUCUCAGGUUUUUGAAUAGAACAUAGCACAUGUCAUUCUGAAAAAAAAAAAAAGUAGCGUUAUAGCAGUGAAAUAAUUUUUGAAGUCGGUCCACUAAGUAAUUUUCGAUUUUACCCGUUAAAAGCAAACAAGAUCACACACACUAUUCAUGAUAUGGGUAUAUACUUACUAUGUUAAUACUUAAAACAGUACGAAACAAGUAACAAGAAAGUCUUUUAAAAAAUAUUUUUCAGGUGUUGACAAUUAAGUACGUGAGUGGUAAACAAGUGAAUGGCCUAAUUGAACUCACAAAAUUAGAAGUUGACCUAUUCGGGGCUGUGACAGUGAGCUAGCUUCUAGCUAGCUGGUUCGGGACGUGGCGAGGGCAGCGCAGUAAUCCUCACCCCCCCCCCCCCCCACCCGUCUCUUCCACAGUCGUACAACCGUGGUUCUCCGUCUCUCUUUUCGCUGCGCUGUCGCCGCCCGCGCGGCAACACUGCAACUUCCCCGCGCGCCGUUGCCAAGUCUCCUUCCGUCGCCCGCGCCGCGCCGGGUCUAAUCACGCCACAGGGUGCGCCGCAAGUUGCUGCAGUACGCGGCGAUACGUGGCAGUCAGCCUUGAUUUGUUUAAUACCGAUUUUAUAGCGAAGUUAAAGCUUUUCGCCUUCUCUUACCAUCAACUACAUAAAAUCACAUUACGUAACCUAUGAUAAUACUAUACUUAAUCUAAAAUAAUUACUUAAAAGUCCGGACAUUAUAAAAGUCUUAAGAACAAACGAACACAGGUAGCACUUGUACUUCAGCUGAACAGUUCUCGGGUUCUGUGAAUGCGUGUAAGUAACUGAACCUAUGGAUUUGUUGUAACGAAACGAUAUAUAGAUACAUUAUUACGUCGCCACAUCCAAACUUUAUAAACUAAAACGAAAAAAAAAAAGUUCACAAACCAAUGAAAAUUACGCCUUUUUAUAAGAGUGAUGUAAACCUAAUUUUCCGAUUCACUGCAUCCCUGGAUGGUUUGUUGUUGUACGUCAAAGCUAUGUUCACGAGUAGUUACUGACGCACACAGGUACAGUACAUAAGUAUACGCAGAAUUUCAUUUGAGGGAACAUUUGAACAUUAAAAAAUAACAGACAACAUUUCUGUUACACCUACAACCUACUUGUUAAGCACUAUGUGUACGAGUAAACUAUAGAAGUGAAGAAAAUAAUCAAAUAUGCCAACAAGCCAGUAAAACAUACUUUACCUAAUAAAAAAAUACGAGCUUGAAUGCUGUAUUUUUUUUAAUAUGUCGUAUGUUAAAUAUGUAUGCAUAAAUUGUUUAGUCAUUUUAUGAUGAAACAUUAGCUGGCAUGUGUACUACUCGGAAUUUUAA
Bacillus rossius redtenbacheri is the source of this 4034-nucleotide long non-coding RNA. RefSeq lists it as uncharacterized. NCBI's taxonomy places the organism in Eukaryota, Metazoa, Arthropoda, Insecta, Phasmatodea, Bacillidae. The record is from RefSeq and is a predicted model, not a curated record. The transcript has 2 exons.